AUGCGGAGAGGCGAAACUGACG
RNAcentral lists this unclassified non-coding RNA (22 nucleotides) under Chlamydomonas reinhardtii. RNAcentral describes it as "small RNA Cre_0747". Lineage: Eukaryota; Viridiplantae; Chlorophyta; Chlorophyceae; Chlamydomonadales; Chlamydomonadaceae. The record is from RNAcentral.